ACGGGGGGUGCAAGCGUUGUUCGGAAUUAUUGGGCGUAAAGCGCGUGUAGGCGGCUUGACAAGUCAGAUGUGAAAUCCCUGGGCUUAACUCAGGAAGUGCAUUUGAAACUGUCAGGCUAGAGUAAGGGAGAGGGAAGUGGAAUUCCUGGUGUAGAGGUGAAAUUCGUAGAUAUCAGGAGGAACACCGGUGGCGAAGGCGGCUUUCUGGCCCUAUACUGACGCUGAGACACGAAAGCGUGGGGAGCAAACAG
Molecule: ribosomal RNA, 251 nt
Filed under: uncultured prokaryote
Description: partial 16S rRNA
Rfam family: Bacterial small subunit ribosomal RNA
Source: RNAcentral